Molecule: ribosomal RNA, 433 nt
Filed under: uncultured bacterium
Lineage: Bacteria
Description: partial 16S ribosomal RNA
Rfam family: Bacterial small subunit ribosomal RNA
Source: RNAcentral
AACGAACGCUGGCGGCAUGCCUAACACAUGCAAGUCGAACGAGACCUUCGGGUCUAGUGGCGCACGGGUGCGUAACGCGUGGGAACCUGCCCUUAGGUUCGGAAUAACUCCCCGAAAGGGGUGCUAAUACCGGAUAAUGUCUUCGGACCAAAGAUUUAUCGCCUUUGGAUGGGCCCGCGUUGGAUUAGCUAGUUGGUAGGGUAAAAGCCUACCAAGGCGACGAUCCAUAGCUGGUCUGAGAGGAUGAUCAGCCACACUGGGACUGGGACACGGCCCAGACUCCUACGGGAGGCAGCAGUGGGGAAUAUUGGACAAUGGGCGAAAGCCUGAUCCAGCAAUGCCGCGUGAGUGAUGAAGGCCUUAGGGUUGUAAAGCUCUUUUACCCGGGAUGAUAAUGACGGUACCGGGAGAAUAAGCUCCGGCUAACUCCGUG